GGGUUGUGAGGUUAAGCGACUAAGCGUACACGGUGGAUGCCCUGGCAGUCAGAGGCGAUGAAGGACGUGCUAAUCUGCGAUAAGCGUCGGUGAGGUGAUAUGAACCGUUAUAACCGGCGAUUUCCGAAUGGGGAAACCCAGUGUGUUUCGACACACUAUCAUUAACUGAAUCCAUAGGUUAAUGAGGCGAACCGGGGGAACUGAAACAUCUAAGUACCCCGAGGAAAAGAAAUCAACCGAGAUUCCCCCAGUAGCGGCGAGCGAACGGGGAGGAGCCCAGAGCCUGAAUCAGUGUGUGUGUUAGUGGAAGCGUCUGGAAAGGCGCGCGAUACAGGGUGACAGCCCCGUACACAAAAAUGCACAUAUUGUGAGCUCGAUGAGUAGGGCGGGACACGUGGUAUCCUGUCUGAAUAUGGGGGGACCAUCCUCCAAGGCUAAAUACUCCUGACUGACCGAUAGUGAACCAGUACCGUGAGGGAAAGGCGAAAAGAACCCCGGCGAGGGGAGUGAAAAAGAACCUGAAACCGUGUACGUACAAGCAGUGGGAGCCUCUUUAUGGGGUGACUGCGUACCUUUUGUAUAAUGGGUCAGCGACUUAUAUUCUGUAGCAAGGUUAACCGAAUAGGGGAGCCGAAGGGAAACCGAGUCUUAACUGGGCGUUAAGUUGCAGGGUAUAGACCCGAAACCCGGUGAUCUAGCCAUGGGCAGGUUGAAGGUUGGGUAACACUAACUGGAGGACCGAACCGACUAAUGUUGAAAAAUUAGCGGAUGACUUGUGGCUGGGGGUGAAAGGCCAAUCAAACCGGGAGAUAGCUGGUUCUCCCCGAAAGCUAUUUAGGUAGCGCCUCGUGAAUUCAUCUCCGGGGGUAGAGCACUGUUUCGGCAAGGGGGUCAUCCCGACUUACCAACCCGAUGCAAACUGCGAAUACCGGAGAAUGUUAUCACGGGAGACACACGGCGGGUGCUAACGUCCGUCGUGAAGAGGGAAACAACCCAGACCGCCAGCUAAGGUCCCAAAGUCAUGGUUAAGUGGGAAACGAUGUGGGAAGGCCCAGACAGCCAGGAUGUUGGCUUAGAAGCAGCCAUCAUUUAAAGAAAGCGUAAUAGCUCACUGGUCGAGUCGGCCUGCGCGGAAGAUGUAACGGGGCUAAACCAUGCACCGAAGCUGCGGCAGCGACACUAUGUGUUGUUGGGUAGGGGAGCGUUCUGUAAGCCUGUGAAGGUGGCCUGUGAGGGUUGCUGGAGGUAUCAGAAGUGCGAAUGCUGACAUAAGUAACGAUAAAGCGGGUGAAAAGCCCGCUCGCCGGAAGACCAAGGGUUCCUGUCCAACGUUAAUCGGGGCAGGGUGAGUCGACCCCUAAGGCGAGGCCGAAAGGCGUAGUCGAUGGGAAACAGGUUAAUAUUCCUGUACUUGGUGUUACUGCGAAGGGGGGACGGAGAAGGCUAUGUUGGCCGGGCGACGGUUGUCCCGGUUUAAGCGUGUAGGCUGGUUUUCCAGGCAAAUCCGGAAAACCAAGGCUGAGGCGUGAUGACGAGGCACUACGGUGCUGAAGCGACAAAUGCCCUGCUUCCAGGAAAAGCCUCUAAGCAUCAGGUAACAUCAAAUCGUACCCCAAACCGACACAGGUGGUCAGGUAGAGAAUACCAAGGCGCUUGAGAGAACUCGGGUGAAGGAACUAGGCAAAAUGGUGCCGUAACUUCGGGAGAAGGCACGCUGAUAUGUAGGUGAAGCGACUUGCUCGUGGAGCUGAAAUCAGUCGAAGAUACCAGCUGGCUGCAACUGUUUAUUAAAAACACAGCACUGUGCAAACACGAAAGUGGACGUAUACGGUGUGACGCCUGCCCGGUGCCGGAAGGUUAAUUGAUGGGGUUAGCGGUAACGCGAAGCUCUUGAUCGAAGCCCCGGUAAACGGCGGCCGUAACUAUAACGGUCCUAAGGUAGCGAAAUUCCUUGUCGGGUAAGUUCCGACCUGCACGAAUGGCGUAAUGAUGGCCAGGCUGUCUCCACCCGAGACUCAGUGAAAUUGAACUCGCUGUGAAGAUGCAGUGUACCCGCGGCAAGACGGAAAGACCCCGUGAACCUUUACUAUAGCUUGACACUGAACAUUGAGCCUUGAUGUGUAGGAUAGGUGGGAGGCUUUGAAGUGUAGACGCCAGUCUGCAUGGAGCCGACCUUGAAAUACCACCCUUUAAUGUUUGAUGUUCUAACGUUGGCCCGUAAUCCGGGUUGCGGACAGUGUCUGGUGGGUAGUUUGACUGGGGCGGUCUCCUCCUAAAGAGUAACGGAGGAGCACGAAGGUUGGCUAAUCCUGGUCGGACAUCAGGAGGUUAGUGCAAUGGCAUAAGCCAGCUUGACUGCGAGCGUGACGGCGCGAGCAGGUGCGAAAGCAGGUCAUAGUGAUCCGGUGGUUCUGAAUGGAAGGGCCAUCGCUCAACGGAUAAAAGGUACUCCGGGGAUAACAGGCUGAUACCGCCCAAGAGUUCAUAUCGACGGCGGUGUUUGGCACCUCGAUGUCGGCUCAUCACAUCCUGGGGCUGAAGUAGGUCCCAAGGGUAUGGCUGUUCGCCAUUUAAAGUGGUACGCGAGCUGGGUUUAGAACGUCGUGAGACAGUUCGGUCCCUAUCUGCCGUGGGCGCUGGAGAACUGAGGGGGGCUGCUCCUAGUACGAGAGGACCGGAGUGGACGCAUCACUGGUGUUCGGGUUGUCAUGCCAAUGGCACUGCCCGGUAGCUAAAUGCGGAAGAGAUAAGUGCUGAAAGCAUCUAAGCACGAAACUUGCCCCGAGAUGAGUUCUCCCUGACUCCUUGAGAGUCCUGAAGGAACGUUGAAGACGACGACGUUGAUAGGCCGGGUGUGUAAGCGCAGCGAUGCGUUGAGCUAACCGGUACUAAUGAACCGUGAGGCUUAACCUUACAACGCCGAAG
This 2925-nucleotide ribosomal RNA is filed under the name Escherichia coli. Its description in RNAcentral is "bacterial LSU rRNA". It matches the Rfam family "Bacterial large subunit ribosomal RNA". Lineage: Bacteria; Pseudomonadati; Pseudomonadota; Gammaproteobacteria; Enterobacterales; Enterobacteriaceae. The record is from RNAcentral.